RNAcentral lists this ribosomal RNA (442 nucleotides) under uncultured bacterium. RNAcentral's name for it is "bacterial SSU rRNA". It matches the Rfam family "Bacterial small subunit ribosomal RNA", at positions 338 to 795 of the family's 1533-position model. The record is from RNAcentral.
CCUACGGGUUGCAGCAGUGGGGAAUUUUCCGCAAUGGGCGAAAGCCUGACGGAGCAACGCCGCGUGAGGGAUGAAGGCCUCUGGGCUGUAAACCUCUUUUAUCAAGGAAGAAGAUCUGACGGUACUUGAUGAAUAAGCCACGGCUAAUUCCGUGCCAGCAGCCGCGGUAAUACGGGAGUGGCAAGCGUUAUCCGGAAUUAUUGGGCGUAAAGCGUCCGCAGGCGGUCCAGAAAGUCUGCUGUUAAAAAGUGGAGCUUAACUCCAUCAUGGCAGUGGAAACUUCUGGACUAGAGUGUGGUAGGGGCAGAGGGAAUUCCCGGUGUAGCGGUGAAAUGCGUAGAUAUCGGGAAGAACACCAGUGGCGAAGGCGCUCUGCUGGGCCAUAACUGACGCUCAUGGACGAAAGCCAGGGGAGCGAAAGGGAUUAGAUACCCGAGUAGUC